UUACACAAGAAAAAACUUCAAAAAAAUUAUAAUCCAGAUACCUGCAAAAUAAAGGGUCCUAUGGAUAUUACAAUUUUAUUCAGAACCCAAAAUACUGUUUCCGAUUUGUUAUAAAAUCCACAAACUAAAUAAUUUAAAAUAAUAACUAUUAAUUGCAAAAUACAAUAGAACAUCAACAAGUUAAGUGAUACAACAAAACUAGAGUAAAAUCACAUACAUUUGAUGAACAGUGUAUACACAACCAAACAAAGACUUUUAUAUUAUUAUUUUUUCAAUAUUUUAUUAUUUCUAUUUAUUUAGUUUAACAACCAGUACAAAGUGCUGAAUUUUAAAAAAAGGGAUGCAGUUA
This is a non-coding RNA of Cinara cedri, 349 nucleotides long. The record is from the annotation of a GenBank genome assembly. Lineage: Eukaryota; Metazoa; Arthropoda; Insecta; Hemiptera; Aphididae.